RNAcentral lists this ribosomal RNA (493 nucleotides) under uncultured bacterium. RNAcentral describes it as "bacterial SSU rRNA". It matches the Rfam family "Bacterial small subunit ribosomal RNA", at positions 30 to 507 of the family's 1533-position model. The record is from RNAcentral.
AUUGAACGCUGGCGGCAUGCCUAACACAUGCAAGUCGAACGGUAACAGCAAAAUGCUUGCAUUUUGGCUGACGAGUGGCGAACGGGUGAGUAACGCGUAGGAAUCUACCCUAAAGCGGGGGACAACUCGGGGAAACCCGAGCUAAUACCGCAUAUUCCCUCCGGGGGAAAGUGGACCUCUGUUUACAAGUUCACGCUUUAGGAAGAGCCUGCGUCUGAUUAGCUUGUUGGUGGGGUAAAAGCCUACCAAGGCGACGAUCGGUAGCUGGUCUGAGAGGACGAUCAGCCACACUGGGACUGAGAUACGGCCCAGACUCCUACGGGAGGCAGCAGUGGGGAAUAUUGGACAAUGGGGGCAACCCUGAUCCAGCAAUGCCGCGUGUGUGAAGAAGGCCUGUGGGUUGUAAAGCACUUUCGAUAGGGAAGAGAGUUUUCGGGUUAAUACCCCGUAAAGCAAGACGUUACCUAUAGAAGAAGCACCGGCUAACUCUGUG